GUAUCUGUAGCUCAGUUGGAUAGAGCAACGGCCUUCUAAGCCGUGGGUCGGGGGUUCAAAUCCCUCCAGAUACA
Molecule: transfer RNA, 74 nt
Filed under: Clostridiales bacterium
Lineage: Bacteria; Bacillati; Bacillota; Clostridia; Eubacteriales
Description: tRNA-Arg
Rfam family: tRNA
About the family: Transfer RNA (tRNA) molecules are approximately 80 nucleotides in length. Their secondary structure includes four short double-helical elements and three loops (D, anti-codon, and T loops).
Source: RNAcentral